Molecule: ribosomal RNA, 253 nt
Filed under: uncultured bacterium
Lineage: Bacteria
Description: partial 16S ribosomal RNA
Rfam family: Bacterial small subunit ribosomal RNA
Source: RNAcentral
UACGGAGGGGGCUAGCGUUGUUCGGAAUUACUGGGCGUAAAGCGCGCGUAGGCGGACCUGCAAGUCGGGGGUGAAAGCCCGAGGCUCAACCUCGGAACUGCCUUCGAUACUGCGGGUCUCGAGUCCGGGAGAGGUGAGUGGAAUUCCUAGUGUAGAGGUGAAAUUCGUAGAUAUUGGGAAGAACACCGGUGGCGAAGGCGGCUCACUGGCCCGUAACUGACGCUCAUGCACGACAGCGUGGGGAUCAAACAGG